This 465-nucleotide ribosomal RNA is filed under the name uncultured bacterium. RNAcentral describes it as "partial 16S ribosomal RNA". It matches the Rfam family "Bacterial small subunit ribosomal RNA", at positions 28 to 507 of the family's 1533-position model. The record is from RNAcentral.
GACGAACGCUGGCGGCGUGCUUAACACAUGCAAGUCGAACGGAAAGGCGCUGCUUGCAGGGUACUCGAGUGGCGAACGGGUGGGUAACUCAUGGGUGAUCUGCCCUGCACUUCGGGAUAAGCAUGGUCAACUGGGUCUAAUAAAGGCUAGGAGCCAUUUUUAGUGUGAUGGUUGGAAAGUUUUUUCGGUGUUGGAUGAGCCGGCGGCCUAUCGGCUUAGUGGUGCGGUAAUGGACUAACGAGGCGGCGAAGGGUAGCCGGCCUGAGAGGGUGGACGGCCACACUGGGACUGAGAGACGGCCCAGGCACCGACUGGUGGCAGCAGUGGGGAAGAUUGCACAAGCGGCGCCAGCCGGGUGCAGCGGCUCCUCGGAGGGUAAGACGGUGUUAUGGUGGAAAAAUCUUUUCGCUAGGGACGAAGCAUAUUGUGACGGUACCUAGAUAGGAAGCACCGGCUAACUACGUG